UACUAAGUUUCAAGUUGAUGUAACUUUAACUUCAUCAAAACUACCUUGACCAAAAACUUUAACCUGAACUUCACAUUAUUAUUUUCUAUGUUCAGUGGACCAUGAAAUUGGGGUCAAAACUUUAAUUUGGCAUUAAAAUUAGAAAGAUCAUAUCAUGGGGAACAUGUGUACUAAGUUUCAAGUUGAUUGGACUUCAACUUCUUCAAAAACUGCCUUGACCAAAAACUUUAACCUGAAGCGAACAGACGCACAGACGGACGAACG
This 264-nucleotide long non-coding RNA is filed under the name Mytilus galloprovincialis (Mediterranean mussel). The record is from RNAcentral. Lineage: Eukaryota; Metazoa; Mollusca; Bivalvia; Mytilida; Mytilidae.